CAGCCGCCACGGUAAUACGAAGGGUGCAAGCGUUACUCGGAAUUACUGGGCGUAAAGCGUGCGUAGGUGGUGAUUUAAGUCCGUUGUGAAAGCCCUGGGCUCAACCUGGGAAUUGCAGUGGAUACUGGAUCACUAGAGUGUGGUAGAGGAUAGUGGAAUUUCCGGUGUAGCAGUGAAAUGCGUAGAGAUCGGAAGGAACAUCUGUGGCGAAGGCGACUAUCUGGGCCAACACUGACACUGAGGCACGAAAGCGUGGGGAGCAAACAGGAUUAGAUACCCCCGUAGUCCCUGUCUCUUAUAC
Molecule: ribosomal RNA, 301 nt
Filed under: uncultured bacterium
Lineage: Bacteria
Description: partial 16S ribosomal RNA
Rfam family: Bacterial small subunit ribosomal RNA
Source: RNAcentral